UACGAAGGGGGCGAGCGUUGUUCGGAGUUACUGGGCGUAAAGGGCGCGUAGGCGGCGAUCCAAGUUAGGCGUGAAAGCCCCGGGCUCAACCUGGGAAUUGCGCUUAAGACUGGAUUGCUCGAGUGCGGGAGAGGUGAGUGGAAUUCCCAGUGUAGAGGUGAAAUUCGUAGAUAUUGGGAAGAACACCAGUGGCGGAGGCGGCUCACUGGCCCGCAACUGACGCUGAGGCGCGAAAGCGUGGGGAGCAAACAGG
RNAcentral lists this ribosomal RNA (253 nucleotides) under uncultured bacterium. RNAcentral's name for it is "partial 16S ribosomal RNA". It matches the Rfam family "Bacterial small subunit ribosomal RNA", at positions 524 to 776 of the family's 1533-position model. The record is from RNAcentral.